This 814-nucleotide long non-coding RNA is filed under the name Homo sapiens (human). RNAcentral's name for it is "HSALNT0056589". The record is from RNAcentral. Lineage: Eukaryota; Metazoa; Chordata; Mammalia; Primates; Hominidae.
CUAGCUCAGGGUUUGUGAAUACACCAAUCAGUACUCUGUGUCUAGCUCAGGGUUCGUAAAUACACCAGUCAGCAGUCUGUAUCUAGCUAAUCUAGUGGGGAGGUGGAGAACUUUUGUGUCUAGCUCAGGGAUUGUAAAUGCACCAAUCAGCACCCUGUGAAAACGGACCAAUCAGCUCUGUAAAAUGGACCAAUCAGCUCUCUGUAAAAUGGACCAAUCAGCAGGAUGUGGGUGGCACCAGAUAAGAGAAUAAAAGCAGGCUGCGUGAGCUAACAGUGACAACCUCUCAGGUCUCUUUCCACACUGUGAAAGCUUUGUUCUUUAGCUCUUUGCAAUAAAUCUCGCUGCUGCUCACUCUUUGGGUCUACACUGCCAUUAUGAGCUGUAACACUCACUGCGAAGGUUUGCAGCUUCACUUCUGAAGCCAGCGAGACUACGAACCCACCAGGAGGAAUGAACAACUGCAGACGCCCCACCUUAAGAGCUGUAACACUCACCAGGAAAGUCUGCAGCUUCACUCCUGAGCCAGGAAGAUCACGAACCCACCAGAAGGAAGAAACUCCGAACACAUGGGAACAUCAGAAGAAACAAACUCAGGACACGCCACCUUUAAGAACUGUGCUUUUAAGAACUGUACCACUCACCGCUAGGGUCUGCGGCUUCAUUCUUGAAGUCAGUGAGACCAAGAACCUACCAAUUCCGGACACACAAGCACAAUGUUAUGAAGUGAUACGGCAACUACCAGAAAACUCUUAGGGAAAUUGAUGUUGUGCACCCUUGGGGAGAAAAAGGACCUUUCAAAGGAUGAUCUUAC